UUUUUCUUCUCUUUUUGCACCCUGUUUCCUCCUUUUUUUUUUUUUUUUAUUCUCCAUUUGGUCCUUCUUUUUUCUCUCGCUUCUCUGUGUUUUGCAGAUCGUAGUAAUAGACGCGAAAGACGGAAAUAAACGCUUUGACGAGCGGUAGCCUCGGUUCCCUCUGUUAAAAAGAUUAAUGAGGAGAGAUCGUUUCCGGGACUUCAAUUUUAUUAAAGGAGGUUCAAAGGGAAUCCUUCGCGAUACAGUGUAUCCCUUCGCCCUGUCCGCCAGCAGAUUUAAAGUGGAAUGGAGAUGGAGGAAAGCGAUGGAAGGAAAUAGGAGGGAAUCAGCACGGUGUUGCAUCACGAACAACAGUAAAGAAAAUCCUGGUAUUGUGCAAAAAAUGCAACGUAGACAAUGCGUAGACAGAAUCAAUGCAUGGGAUAUACUAUAUUCAAUAGGAAUCGUCAACAAUUUCAUUGGAUUCUCAUCAAAUUAGAUUACAAGGAAAUACUGGGAUAUUACUAUAUACGUCGAGCUAUACGUAUACACAACAGAUGGAAAUUUCGUAUGUGAAACACAUUCAAAGAAAAACUUUCUCGACGAUGAAAUAAUAAAUUACGAGAAAUCACGAUAGCUUCACGAUAACGUCGAUCGAAGCUCGACACUUCCUCUACAAAUCGUCUCCAUUUUGAAGCAUCGUGAAGCACGCCAAUCGGAGACAUUAUUGGAUGUCUAUCGACAAAGAAGGAUACAAGAAGAAGUGCAAUAAUCUGGAUGAGAUCAGAAUUAAUAAACGAUCCUGUUUGGAAAAGUUUCUAGUCCUUUAAGAACAUUCGGGCAUCGUGACUCGGAGGAUGCGCGAUCCUCAACGUCGCGACGAUAUACCCGGUUUCGUGUCUAUUAUACAAAGCUUUCUCGAAAACUUGAAAGGAAAAAAAUAUAAAAACAAUAGAGAAAAAAAUGGCGAGAAAAGAAAAAAAAGAAAGAGGAGGAAAAAGGGAACACAAAGUUUCCAUCACGCAAGUGAGAAGUCUACUCGUUUGCUCACUCGUUCAUUCGCACGCCUCUGCGAAGAUUUACGCCUGGUCGUCUGUAAUUUAAUAGAGGAUACUUUGCCGGAGUUCCUUCGAGAGUUACCUGUUCUGUUCGCACGGCCCGCGGAACGUGAGCUGACUUUGUGUCUCGGCAUAUCGUAGGGAAAGACAAAUAAAAAAAAAAAAUAGCUUAUGGAAAAAGGAAAAGGAGAAAGCGAAGAAGAAGGAAAAGAAAUGAAAGAAGUGAAAGAGAAGCCAGAUUGCGCGCAGAUCGUAGUGUCGUUAUUCACCGAACCGGCUCGAAUAUCUAAUUACGAUGAAAGAGGCUGUCCACGUAGCGGGGUCCCAAUGAAAAAUUCAAUAUGAAACUGUAAUCGGGAGCUCUGUCUUUCUCCACGGAUUAGUAUCGGCGGCCUGGCCGCCUUCUUCGCUUCCAAUGUCCGUGAUUUAUGACCGGGCCAUACGUAACGCGCAUCGGCUGAAUAAUUUUCUCUGCCGGCUCUAUGUACGAUACUUUUCCAUUCUCAUCGAUCUCCAAGUGUCAAACUGGUAUUAGAAUCGGCCGAAUGUUGUACGAUGUCUUAUCGAGUUCUCGUCGUUGAAGGCUCAUCUUGCCCCUUUUACUUUUGAGUGAAUCAGAGUUCACAGAAAUGGAAGUAAAUCGACUGACAAAAAGGCCAAUCGAUUGCUUGGCAUUCUGAUAUUUAUUCAAGUUGAUUUCGAGGUGAACGUAGUUCAGAUGAUAUUUUAUCUGGAGUGAAGAAGUGAAGAAAGAAAACUUAAAAGAGAUAUUUUUGUGUUGAGACAGUUAUGGAGAUAGGUUUGAAUCAGAACUGUUGCUUCUAGCCUGAAGAGUUUAUAGUUAUAUAUAUAUAUAAUAUAUAGAAUAAGAGAAAAGAAAAAUACUGUUAAAGAACAUAUUUAGAAGAAAUAAUGGUCGAGAUAAUAUCAACAGUAUUAAUAAAUUUGAUAAUAAUAUUAAUAAAAAUUAUGAGAAAGUUAUAAGAAAAAAGAAAUAAUUUUGUGUAGAGAAGUGUAAAGCCAUUAAUCUAAUGACAUUCUUAAUUGCAGAUUCGACAGGAAUUUCUAGUUUAAGACUGUGAUGCUUUCUAUAAGAAAUUUCAAAGAAAAAGCGACAAAAACAAGUCCUCGAUCAAAUCCCGCAUCUAGCCCUGAAUACCUGUUUAUCUUGUAGCAAUAUCGAACCGUAGACGAGAAAGAUUAGACAUGCCUUGUUAUGAGGUGAGAUAGAGAAUUCAAAUUUUCCCUUUCGAAGUGAACUUCGUUAGCAUAACAACGAUCUGCAAGGAACACGUGGGACGUGAAACAUUCAACAAAAUGUAAAAAACGAAGAGACAUGCUUCCAAGGGAACGAAGCUGUGCAGGCGCAAUGAUAACGUCGAGAAAUUUUCACGUCGCGGCUCUUAAUAAAACUUACGAAACGCACGAAACGUAAUAAACGAGCGACGUGUAUAGGUGAUACACGCGGCCAGGCGACUGACCCACUUUUUCUCAAGAUGUAUGAAUAUUAGUUUAACGAACUUGCCGCAACGAAGAUAUAUUUGCCACUCUUUCCUUCUUGCUUUUUCCGUAGGUAGAUAGUAUUGCGCUUCAUGUACUUGCAUUGCACGAAUUUUUUUCCACAUUAAACGAGCCGUCUUCAACUCGGGUGGUAAUCAGCCAUCUUCUUAUUUUCACAAACGUUUUGCAUUUUAAGCACGAUGUCACGUAAAGAUUUAUCAUCAUUCUUAAUCUAAUAUCUUUCGCGCGAUAUUUCAAAAAUAUCUAAUAUAAAAUUGUAAAAUCUAUUUAUUAGUCUGUAAUAUAUAUAUAUAUGAUUUAUCACUUGUCAAUUUACUAAUAUCAUUCGUUGGUAAUCCAUAGCAUAAGAUGCCCCUAGAUGUCAGUUUGAUCGUAAUUCUCUAGUAGGGGGAAAGCAAGCAGAUUAACGCCGGUCAGAGUAAUAAUUCGUGCGGAGAACAUCGGAAACGGUUGGAACGUCUGAAUCGCAUAUCCGGCCGAAAUGGCCGGAUACGAAUCGAGUGUCAGCUUUGGGAAUUCAGCCGGUCGAUCGGUCGAUUAUACACGCCGUAAUAGAGCGUCACGCAACUAUGAGAAUCCGUUGUGUACUGGUUGGCUUCGAGCUGCCUCGAGAUGUGUCGAAACAGAAGCUUCCACGCCACGCGCCACGCUUCAGGAUUUGCAAGUGGACACGUGUAUGUAGUUACCCUUUGGCAUCGUGUUCUCGACGUGGAAUUAACAACACGACGUCAUUAGACCGGAUGGAAUAACUAAUGAAAGACCGAUUGGACGAUGAAGAUUGAUUUUCAAAAAUAUAAAGAGCAUUUCUAGUUGUAAAUUAAUAUAUGGAGUUAAAAUAUUUGAUUUUUUUCAAGCCCUAUUGAUGAAAUGGUUGUGACAGCCCAGUCGAUCAUCGAUACUGCCUUUUCCACGUAUCAUCUAUCAUUGGUUAAAACAGAACCUAAUAACAAGCAAGAAUAUUCAAUUGGAAGAAUCUCAGUUACUUCGGAACAGGAAACGAUUACAGGAUAAUCAGAAUCAUCUACGUUUAAUUGAACGAAUUCUGGACGUUGAUAAAAGCAUCGAUUCCAUGCAAGAGACAAUAUCUGAAGAAUUUCAACGUGAAAUCAAUCUGACGAUUACAUUUAUUUUAUAUUUAUGGAAAGAUCAAACUAUACGACAUACAUAAUACAUCCACUUCAUUGGAAGUUUACGAAACAGUAGACGUUAUCUAUCCUUGUACAACGACACGAAGAUUCGCCAACAACUGCAAUCGUCGGAAAAAGAUACGAAAGCGUGCAAUGUUUUAACUCGAUUCAGAAUUACCAGCUUGAACACGUGUACAUGUGUAUCCCCUUGUUGCGCGUUCACCGCGGCCAUUAAAGCCGCAGCUUUAACUGACCCCGGUGGAGCUUUGCCGAUAUAUUUUCCAGUAGAGGCCAGUAAACGCUGCACUUAUAAAUAACAAGAAGAUAGAGAUAGAUAUUUUUCCCAGUAUUCAAGCACCAAAUCGUCAAAUCAUCCCAUUAUUCAAAUCAGAAGACAAUCAAUCAUCUAAUCAACGAUUCAAACUCUAAUUAUCAAGAGACUCUCAAAGUUCCUACUUCAAGAUUGGAAACCGUGGAAUUCCAUUAAAGUACAAGUUCGUCCUAUCGAGGAGUGAACUGCAAGAAAAUACAGACAGAGUAACUCGGUUCCACGACCAGAUCGAACAAAACGCUAUUCGCGAUACAUGAAGGGAACGAGUUACUCGAUAUCCUUUUUUUCACUACCGGGAGCAUGCACACCCUGAUGACUGAUCGUGGGAGCUCUUAUUAAAGCGAUUCACGUAAUUCUUCGCAAUCCAUGUUUCAAAAGGCGAUGAACUAUAACGUUUUCAUUAGUGCUAGCUCGCUACGUGUAAUUCCAGUGCACUGGUUGCCUUUUCGAGUCGUUUCAUUCCAAGCGUAUAUAUCUCCGCGGUUCAUGGCCAAUGAGAAUGCGAUCCGGCUUCUACCUCAAGGUAUUCUCUGCUCUUCUCUGUUUCCGCCGGAAGCCGCCGACUCGAUUAAUCGUCGAUGGAAGGUAACGUGUAACGGAGGCCAGAGUCAAUCUCUUUGAGAGAAAAAGAAAUUGUCUCUUCGUUUGUGUUUUAUGUACAGCUUCUGGAUAAUUUGAAAGUUUUUUCGAAAAAACUUUGGAAAAAAAAUUUAAUCUUUGUCUUUUUGAACGAGAAGAGAAGUCAUCAGAAUAUGAGAAAAGAAGAAAGAACGCUUUUCUCUUUUAAACUUGAAAUUUUUUUUUAUUUAUAGCAAUUUAAGAAGAAAAGUGUUUGAAAAGAAGGGGAAUAAUUAUCAAUAAGGAUGAAAUAGUUUUCUUGUUGUGAAACUUGUAAAGCCAAGUAUUUCGGUGCAUGAUUGUAGAAUCGGUGCGUCGGAUCUCUAUGCACAAUGAAUGCUGGCACGAGGAGUUACCGCAAUGGUGCCAUUUGCUGCCGGAAACGUUGACCAGGGUAUCGUAAAGAAGUUCAGAGAAGCCUCGAAAAUGUGCACUGGAAGGCGACUUCUUUCCUUUGCGUGGCUGAAAGAAAUUGAAUUUACCGCUUUGUGAGAAACACCAAGAUCUGCAACGUUCGAAUCUCGUGGCCAUUUUGAGCCCAUCUUCUAGAGAAGCCAGAAACAGUUAAUAGGAUCAUGAAAAUCUAAUAAAUCUAUUGGAAUGUUUAAUUACAAUUCAUCAUUUUAUCUUUUUACUUUAAAUAUUAUUGUGAAUGUUAACAAAUUUAACAAGGUACAGGAAUUGAUAAAACAAAAAUUGAAUAUCACAUAAGAAAUUGGCCACGUGGCAAACGAAUCCCUGAUGGAAUGUUAAAGUUCGACAUCCAUGAAAGGAAACCAUUUCUCAACCAACUCUUCGAACGGUAACGAUAGUGGAAGAAAAGAAGGGGCAUGAAGGAAGUUUCGCAGAAACGUAAUAACUCUGGCAAAGAUUAGACGGAUAAGGGGGAACCGUCAAGACGUCUACUUUGUAAGAUAAGAUUCGGCAGAGACGCUUUGAAGCCUUUCGUAUCGAUAAUGUAACUUUGACCGACCAGUCGUGUAACACUGAAUCGCUCAAUUACCAGGUCCAAGUAUAACCGUGCAAUGACUCGUGCACUUGGCAAAAAGAAAAUGGAAAAAUCGACUGAUACGGAGUUCUAAUAAAAAUGAUCAUUUUUUUAUUAAUCGAUCGAUCCUUUUUUCAAUUAAUAAAUUUUUAAAUUAUUUCAAAGAAAUCAUUAAUAUAUAAUUAUUAUAGAAAUUUUUGAUAUCGUAUACAUAAAGUAGAUCAGAAUACUAUUCGUUAUUUUUUCGAAAUUAAAAACAUUUUUAAUUUCUCGUUAACUCCGUUUCUAACUUUGGCAUUUUCAUUUCAGGAAUCUAAUUAAUCUUAAUCAAGACAAGAAUUUAAUUCGUAAAAGUAAACUAUUGCUUAGAAAUUAACACUUCAUUCGAUAAAUGAUCUGAAUGAGAGAGUAUCAAGGAGUGCGUCGUAAAGAUUUAUGGUUCGUGAAUCAACGUGAAGACAAGAAACGUUGGAAUCCAUCUUGGAAACUAGUGGAUGAACGGAAGAAUGCUUGCACAUUGUCGACAGACACCAGGAACGAGAAUCUGAACAAGAUUAGGCUAGUUUCCAAGUCAGCCGAGAGGACAGCCGUGCCACGCGACACUUUGUCGGCGACCAGUCCCUAAUGAUCGUUCGCAUUUGUCGAAUUUAAUUCCGGAUAUUCGAUUCCUAAAUGCCUCGGGGCGAGACGAAAGCCAGCUGCCGGUGGAAUCGAUUCGAACAUAUCCCUGCUGGAGUUCAAGAGGUUGGAUAGUUAUCGGAAACGUGGCUAAAAACGAUAGACUAUAUAGAAGAUGGGAAUGAAAUACUAUCUUGACCCUAUUUACCGGCCUAUAGAUUCUUUGCUUAUGAGUCGCUUGUUUAAACUGAUAUCUGAUAACAUAGUUUUUUUGAUUGCAAUCAAAUAUAAUAUCCACCAGUAUUACUCGAUAAUAUUUGAUCACUUAUCACAUAUAGAUAAAUGUGGGUCGGUCAAUUAAUUAAAUUGGAUUUUUCUUUCUUAUUUCUUAAAAAAUAUGAUAUAAAUGAAUAAAAAAAAAUGUUACAAUGGAUGUAACUUACAUUCUGCUGUUACUUUUUGAUAUUUUGCAAGUAUCUACAAACAGUUGUCGAAUUGCAUCUACAAAAAUUUUUUAUUAUAUGAUUUAAUUAUGGUUUCAUUGAUUUAUGUUGUUUUGUGAAAUAAUAUUCUGCAAGAUUGGUACAUAAAAUAUAAUAUACAUUAAUAAAACAUGUGAUUACAGAGUGAAAAAUAAUUAACAAAAGCAAUGUAUAAUGAAUAGUAGAGAUUGACAAGAAAAUAGUUAAAGGAAUGCUGGGAAUGCUGGCUCGCGCGCUCGUGUAUGCCUUGCGACAUUAAUCCAUUUUCAGAUAAUCAUGCUCUCUGGUCGCUUAAACCUGACAAACUGUUUUCUUUGUGUUCAAAACGAUAAGACAAUCAGAUCUUUUACGAAUUAUGCACAAUUAUGUCACGAUCGUGGAAUUAGAAAUUUUCUAAACUUUAAAUGUCAUUUUCCGACGGCAAAAUUUUUAUGCAAGUACAAAAACGUCUAAUCAAUAGAAAUUGCGCAUGGAUGAACAAUGCAUUUUAUGUUUAAUAGCGUUGUUAAAAAUUAUGAUUAUGAAUUGGAAAAUGGUUUGGAAGUUUUGAAACUAGAAGAGAAUCUUUAUAGUUCAAUGGGUUAGAACAAAGAGAUUGAUUAUGAGGUAUUAAACUGGAUAAGUAUAUAUGAUUAUUAUUUCUUCCUACAUCAUUCUAGCUAAGUUUAAAAUAUGUAUUUUUGUUAGAUUUCAAUGGUAUCUAUGACAUCAAUAGUUCAAGAAAUAUUUUAAAAAUAUAUAAUUUUACAGAUCACAAUAUUUAGACGCUUUUCUGAUAUCUAUCCAAAUUAUCAUUGCAAAUGUAGCUCUUACAAACAUAAUUACGACAAUUAUAAAAUAUAAUAUAUAAAAUAACACUAUAAGAAAAACUCAAAUGAAAUUAUGAAAUCUCAUAAUGGAGAAGUAAUAACACAUCACAUAUUUUCAAUUUUGAAUAUCAUUUCACAUUAACCCAUAUAUAUUUCACAUGUGUACAAGUUGAUUCAACACCCAAAAAAUUUCUUCCUUUUCGUUUUAUAGAAACUAGCUCGAUCAUUAACCAAAGAUAAUCACGAUGGCGGACGCAUAACUUGAUCAAUCCUCGACGAUCUUGGCGAUGUAUUUUUUUUUUUUUUUUUUAUUUCUUUUCCUUAUUUCUCUCUCCCUUUUUAGUUCGCAGUUGCGCAAUCUUCCCCGUACUUUGAACGGUCUCGUUUCACCGUCUGCUCCGCUCCUUCGAGCAGAUUUAUUCUAUUUAUUCGCUCAACCUCGAGGGAAGUCGGCCGAUUACGUCGAAAUUCCUUCUCCAAAGCCCUGCGAAUCGACCUCUUUCCAAUCUUUCUCUCGCUCGUUCCUUUUUUCCCUCUCCUUCCUCUCUCUCUCUUCUAGCCAAGCUUUCGAGUGUUUACUCGCGUGUUCGAGUUCUGUCAGUAUCACACGCUCUCCGCCAAACAAAUCGAUCGUCUCCUAUCGCCGCCUCUUUUCGCCGAUUUUCGCCCGCCUUUCGACUCGACCGAUCCCCCGGGACCACGAAGCUUUUACGGGUGAGAAACCAGGGGACCAGCAAGAUCAAUUCAAACAAUAUAUGCACGAUAACAAUACGUGACAAUAAUAAGAUUCCACCUGAAAUAUGGUAAUCUAUAUAAAACGACAA
Long non-coding RNA from Apis laboriosa (Himalayan honeybee), 8355 nucleotides. RefSeq lists it as uncharacterized. The record is from RefSeq and is a predicted model, not a curated record. The transcript is spliced from 8 exons. NCBI's taxonomy places the organism in Eukaryota, Metazoa, Arthropoda, Insecta, Hymenoptera, Apidae.